GGGGAUUUAGCUCAGCGGCAUAAGCACCUGCCUUGGACGCAGGCGGUCAUGAGUUCAAUCCCCG
Molecule: transfer RNA, 64 nt
Organism: Cavia porcellus (domestic guinea pig)
Lineage: Eukaryota; Metazoa; Chordata; Mammalia; Rodentia; Caviidae
Rfam family: tRNA
About the family: Transfer RNA (tRNA) molecules are approximately 80 nucleotides in length. Their secondary structure includes four short double-helical elements and three loops (D, anti-codon, and T loops).
Source: Rfam